This is a long non-coding RNA of Falco peregrinus (peregrine falcon), 12864 nucleotides long. RefSeq lists it as uncharacterized. The transcript is spliced from 7 exons. The record is from RefSeq and is a predicted model, not a curated record. NCBI's taxonomy places the organism in Eukaryota, Metazoa, Chordata, Aves, Falconiformes, Falconidae.
AGAUGUUUUGAUGAACUUGAUUUUUUUUUUUUUUUCUAAGGGAAAAUGUUCUGUUGGAAAGUUUGAGAACAGCCACAAGGACCUGUGCAUCUUAUUACAGCUCUCCAGUGGUGGUUGCUGGUUGUUUCAAUUUAUUUGCUUAAUAUGAUCUGGAUAAUGCAGACAUCGUGACUGCCAUCUUCAAUCACAAGAAGAGAAUCUUUUACAAAAAUCUAUAAUGUAGUUUAUGAAAUGAACUGUUACUGCAAAUCAGAAGAAACAUGCUGUAAACUGUUUUACUAUGUCUCAAAUAUGAGAUUUGAUUGCUGUAUCGUUUGAAGGAACAGUACUACGUGAAAUAAAAUGUGUCAGACCAACACUUCACGAAUUGUGGUUCCAGAUGCUGGUUGAAUUUCACGUGCAAGGGAUCCACGUGACUUGAGCUCCAGUGACUGUAUUUUCUGCUCUCCUGUGGCAUGUGCAAAGGAUCAUCCUUCACUGGUUUAGAUCUGCUCUUGAGAAUGUUUGUGCGUGGUGAAUGAGCUUGCAAGUAGGCCUCCAAGGAAUAUGCUACAGCUGUGAAAGCUUUGGCAUUCAUACUCAAGGUCGUCUUCCUUCACACCAAGCUGUUUCAUCAAACAGGACUUACUAGGAUUUCCUCUAGCCACUUCCCAUAGGGACCAGUUUCGCACAUGCUUCUCACCACCUGUUAUAACAGGCUGGGGCAAGGGGGGGCACUUCAGUUCUUUAAAGCAAACCAGAUUUUGACCAGUGGGAGAGGGGAGAGAUGCAAACAUCUGCAGAGCGCAAGCAAGAUUCUCAAGAUUUUUCAAUGGAAGGUAAAAGGAAAAGGAGAUGGUGGGAAGCCGCUUCACACCAGGGAGGCUGGUAUUUAGCUUCAGUUGUUUGCUGAGAGCUUGUGCCUUUGACCUGUUGAUUAGAUAACUGUGGCAGUAGCAGAAAGCUUUUAGAGGUUUGGCGAGUAUGGUAAGAGGGUGGUUGUUCAGAGCUGUCACCAUGGAGGGAAGGAAAGCAUUCAGAAACACUAAAUGUGAACACAGUCGAGCAGGUACAUGCUGCUAGAACAAUGCCUGGCACUGAGCUUUGUCGCAGGAAACCAGCUUUGGUGUAUCAGCUUUCCAUUUGCAGUUGCUGUUGCCAGAGGGAGGGAGAUGAGAGAAAUGGUCUGUAACAGCAGAAAAUCUGAUUUAUUUUUUAAAAAAUACAGGCCUGGGCAAUUACCAGUCUUAAAUGUACUUAGCACUUUUGCUUGAAGGUAAAAAUGUGACAUACAAGAGAGAAGUAGGGACGUUGCAGGGAAAAAAGCGAAAUAAAUAUAAAUGUUGCAGUAGCUGGGUUCAGUGUUUUGCAUGCAAUCAUGAAAUGUAGUAGCAGCCCAUGUGUAUUGUGGAUGAUUGUGUAUUAUGAUUAAACACUGAGGUCUCAACUGGCAAGAGCAAGUUGCCUUAGCAAAAUAUUUUGUGCAGCCUACACAGUAGUAAGCAUUUUACUAGCAGGAGUGAGAAACAAAUCCCUUUGGAAAGAGCCAUUGGAUCUCUCUUUCCUUGGAAAAACUACAGGAAAAUUUUGUCCAGACUGUUAGAUAUGUCAUAUAGGUUUUGCUGCCAGUGUGGAGGUCUGAUCCAAAGUCUGUACAAAGCCUAGUACUUUCAGUAGACUUUAGUUUACUGUGAUGAGUAAUCUGAAAAGAGAGGAGGCCUGCAAGUGUGUAGGAGAAUCCUGUGGCUGAAAGAAGUGACUGGUCUGAAGGAUGAGAGUAACACUGAACAGGGGUCUUCUGGAGGUCAGGAAAGAGUCUUUGAAGAAAGAUCAGAGCAGAAUGAUAAUGUGAUAGUAUUAAUUUCAGGUGAAAAGAGUACUAAAACAUGCAGUGGGUCCAUCUUUCCAACAAUAAGCUGGAAAUAGUGCCCCUUUAGUUUAAAAUUAAUUUUUCUUGGGCAUAACCAAUAUUAUAAAAGAUUUGCACUUCCUGGGUCUGCAUGCAUUUAAUCACAAGUUGAUUUAUGUACAUGAGCAGUUCGCAAGGACCGUGGCUUGUUAGAUCUGAGUGUAGGUGUUUGUGUGACCUAACAACGUAGCACCUGUAGGAGAAGUAGGAAGAGUUUGAAGGAACAUUCCUGCUCUGUCAAAGGCAAGGUGUUUCUGCUUUAUGGUCGGUAGAACUAGGCUGGAGUCCAGUUGGUGAACUGACACAGAACUGAAGUGAUGGUUCAGUUUCUGUAGGACCGUGUCUGUGUGCUAAGACUGGUACAGCCUCAAGGGAGUGAAAAGAUGACUGAAGAAUGUUUAUACAUUCCCAUGGUGACCUUUAGUUUGGAGGUAACCAGCAAGGUGUUUUUAAAUAAAACAGACUUCUAUAUUGUUACAAUUAAUUUUUUCCUCUGGUAGCAUUUCCACUCUUACAGUUUAAUCCAAAAUAUUCUUGGUGGAGAUCUGCGGUAUAUUUCAGUGGUCUACUCUGUAGGUUAGAAUCCUAAGUAUAUUUUUUGCCAAAAUUUGUUAGGAACACAAUUUUUAAGUAAGAUUGUGAUUAUAGGUACUGCAUGUUACAUAAUGGAUUUGUAAGGAGUACGCAUGUGUAGCCAGGACCAAGUACAAGCACAGCUCUCUCAAACCUCUCAAGAUUCUGCGUGGUACAUGGAGCCACGUGGAAGGAGAGUUUAUAUGUAACCACUUUAUGCCAUGCCUGAAAAAAUGCAGCUGAAUUGUUGUUUGUUUGGUUUUUUUUAAUUUAAUGUAGUUAUUGCUAGAGGUCUUUUGCAUUUUUAUCAAAGCCAAUGAAAUGGCUAAUAAAAUCCUUUGACCCCUAUAAUAGUCUUUUACUGAUCUUUCAAGCUUGUUUUUGCUGACUUGUUGCCAUUGGUACAUGGGAAGUACAUGGGCAUAUAGUGUGGUUUGUGACCCUGUGAGCUCUGUCCUAUCACAGACAUUAAGGAACUGCUAACAACAGAGUGUAAUUCACAUUCUUUCUCUGUUUCGCUGUAUGUAUCUGUCUGGAGACUGAAAAAUUUUAGGAGAAUUCAAAUCAGCUCCAUUAUUGAGGUAAGAAUGUUGUACUACCAGACACUGUGUGUUCUAUUUCUUUACAGCUAAAGGUAAAUUAUUAUUUUCUGUGGAAACCCCUUGUCUCUCAUACCUCACUUGAGAGAAUGUCUUAGUCUUGAAAUUAAGUUUGUCAUAAGAGUUGUUGAUGAAAAUUAUGUUGUGACUUGGUCUUCAAGCAAACUAAACAAAAGACAUCAAGGUUGAAAAGCAUUGCUAUGGUUACGUUAUUUAAAGGCAAUUGUUAAUAAAGGAGAGAAAAUUGGAACUGAGAGAGGCAGUAACUGCAAAAGCAUAGAAAAGGUUAGACUAGAAUUUUUCAUCAAAACUUGAUGUGAGCUUACUUCAUGUUAUGUUCAUUAAAUAUCCAUUUUAAGGCUGCCAUCUUAACCCAAAGGAUAUAGCUAGGAGAAAUCUAACAAGAAGUUUAGGUUUUAGAGAAGGGCAGCAUUCAUGUUUUGAAUUCCUGGGCUAAGGGGACUGGAUGGAGUCCAGUUAGGCUUUAGAGUGGGAGGUUUUAUCCCUUCUUUAGGUUUUUGGGAAGAGAUAAUUAGUUUUAAAAUGGUUGCAGUGUGCUUUUAAAAUCACAUAUGUUCUGAUUUUGCUUCCCUGUUCUUUAUCAUGGUGCAUUACAUAUUCGCAUGGGACCAGAACCUUAGAAGCAAGGAAUUUGGGCUUCAGCUGCUAGCAUGAUUUAAACCCCAAGCUUAAAUAUUUUAAUUGAAGUCAGCUAAUGUAUAGCUUCUAAUCCCAGGGUAGAAUGUUGGCUUUUUAAAAAUCAUAAAUAUGCCCACAGUCCCUGAAAUUGAGAGAACACCACGCACUGGUGGCAUGGUUUGUGGUGACAGCAGCUGUCUUUGCCUACACAAAGACCCCAGUUCAAAUCUGCAUAGAAUGUUUUUUAGCUACUUCCUUUCUGGGGUAAUAUUUUUGAGUUCAGAGGAAUUAGACCAAAGCUGACUGAUGGCCUCCAUUUAUGUGAAAAGUGCUUGUUUACUUUGAAAAUGUAGGUUAACUGAAUAUCAGCUUUCAAAUUAGCCUACUUUAUCACUUAAAAGAGAUGUUUUUCAAUUAAAAUAAGAAGAUAUUACAUACCAAAGGUUACAGAAACAUGUUCUUUAAAAAUUAAGUUAAAUUAGAAAUGACAUUUCCUCUUCUAAUAUUGAUGUUGUAGCUGAGAGUUAAGCUAUAAAAGGAGUCAAUUAAAUUCUCUGCAGCUUUGCUGCAAAAUCCAAAUUUAAAUUACACAAUAAAGGCAUCAUAUUAAUGCUGGCAGUUUCAGACCACUCGUUUCUAGAACUAAACUGGGGCAAAAACAUUCAUCCAAACCCACAUCUGUCUAAUUAAUAAAUUCCUAUGAUGUCAAGAUUUAAAUAUGAACACGUCAUAGGUUCAGUCUUGGUGCCAGGUUUCUGACACUGGAAGGUUCUGAAGGGCUGUUAGGAAACCGGAGUGUUUAUUAGUAUCAAAAAUGAGCACAUCAAAUGUGCUGUACCCCUUUGCCACGAGGUUUCUCCAGUGAAUCACCAGUGCUUCUUCCUACUAGUGCUGGUAACUUGUCUGUGGCCACCAACCUACGCCAGCGUAUUCAGGAGUCUUUAGAUUUGGUUGAUCACACUUUGCAAAGAGAAAUCAGGGAGCACUUUCUCUGGGUUUAGACUUAUCCAGGGAAGAAAGAUUACUGAAUAUUGGUAUUUUUUAUUAGUUUAUUUAAACAUAGUGACUUAUGAGAUUGUGACUGGAUUCUAAGCUUUUGGAUGUAGGUCCUUGAGGUUUUGAAAAGCUAGCCCCAGGCGUGCAGGGAAGCGGGCAGUGUAAGCAGCAAGUAUUCUCUAGCUCACCUCAUACUGUCAAGGCUGGCUGUGAGGGAUGUGUAGGAGCAGGGGAGGCUUCGGCAGCCUUUUUGGGGCAGAGAAGCCCCUACAAGGCUGCAGCUAAAACAAGUUAUCUGACUUGAGAGCACAAAUCCUUGAUGGUUCAAUGGGACUUAAGCUCCCUGUGUGCUCUAAGGGUUUUGAGAACUUCCCCAUCUUCCAUGCUUUGCAGAUACUUGUAGGAGAGGUGUUGUAGUGUUACUGUAGGUUGGAUUAGUGCAGCAGAGUAUAAUCUUCGUAGUUUUUCCCUUUGCAAAAUGGCAGUGGAGGCUCUUCUAGCUGAGGAUGAGGAUGUACAGAGUAGAGUUGGGAGGCUGUUAGGCCUUGUGGUCAUGGGAGUCGAAAGUGCCCCAACAGAUGAGCAAAAUGUUUUAUCUGGUUUCUCCCCAACGGUUGCUGCCAGACUUUAUUCUAAGGCUCAUCUGUGACCCUGACUCCUGGAGUUUGCUCAAGAACUGCAUUUUAUAGCUUAAUCUUUGCCACUUGAUGAUUUAGUGAAGAUUUUAAAAGUAGUAUACUGAAGGUUACUCUGCUUGGAAAUGGUUAAAAACUGCAGAGAACUAUCUUUCAAUUUAUACAUAUAUAUUAAAUACCUCCUGCAUUCUCUCUGUGCUUUCCAAUAUGGCAGUAUUUUGUAAGCAGUCUUUGUGUCUCCUCUGAUCAUCUCUGCAGUAGUCAAGACCCAUCUUUUUACCCUCACAAUUGUGCAGACCUAGGAGGAAGAGGAAGUGGUCUUUGUCCUAAAAAAUUUAAACGCUCUGAAAAAUGGUGAUGAAAUAGAAAAGUGGUGUUAAUUUCAAGCUCCAUUAGAAGCAAAAGGACAGAUAUUUAUAUCCAUCUUCUGUGCUAUACUUUGGACCCUUUGGUAUUUUGUUUUAGUGUGGUGGUUAAAUAUUGGAAUGAGGAGUGCUUCAGGGGUCAAAGAGGAGAUGGGGAGUGAGUGCUUGUUAAAUAAAUGUUGACAGGAACCUCACAUUAAACUUAAAAAAAAAACCCUAAGUUCCUAUUGCUGUAGCGCCAGCAGUACAUUUGAGGGAUGCGCCUCCCUCCUCUGGCCACUUUAUGAUCAAAAUGGUUUGGUUCUGCAAACCGGUUAUGCUGGCUGGCACCUUACUUGGUUAUUCCUGCCCCUGCCUUAUGCAAAACGUGUGCUGAAAAGGGGAGUAGCAGGACCUGGCCCGUGCCAAGGGCAGCGAUGGGGCAUGCGGUGCAGCACGCUCGGUGAUGCCUUUCUCUACCACAGAAUCAGCAUGAAUCAACUCAGGAGGAGGAGUUGCUGCUGCUUGGGUAACUACACCUCUGAGAGUCUGUACAAUGCGGAGCACACACACCUCCUCAGAGCCCUAACCAGCUGCCCUGGCCCCUGUGCUGGGGAUGCCUGGGCUCCCAGCUGAGUGCUCCACCUCCCUUGGUGUCACAGCGCCUGCUCUUUUAACACUUCAGACAGCACUGAGCUGAGGCUCCUGACACCACAUCUUUCAUUUUUUUACAGGAUGUUUGUUUUAUGUAAUGUUUGUCUCCAGCAGCUUGACUUCUGUUGUUUGUUUAAUGCAGUUCUGAUUCCCAUUCUAACAGUUUUCUAACUUACACUGUGAGUGAGCUAAAAAGGAAUAUUUAAGAACAGUGCUAAGAUGCUUUCUGCUGCUCUGUGCUGUUUUGAAAACCAGCUGUGCAGUGAAGAAUAUGACUGUUCCUGAUGAGUGUAUUAGUUUAAAUCCAAACAUUUAACAGGUCUGUGCUAGCUAUCUGACCUGUAAUCUAAACUGAUGGGGUUUUGCCCUAGGGCCACCUAACCACUAUUCUGAAGUGUUUUAAUUGUAACGUGUCUUGGAUAGCUAGCUUGCUAUUUCUAGCAGUCUGUAGAAGCAGAGGAUUUGGUUCCACUGAAACUAGUAAUUUACCGAAGCUGAAAGUUAAUCUGAUCCUAUUUGUAGCUGGCAUUCAUAUAAAUCAUUUGGACAACUUUGUGCAAGGCCUGCUCUUUAUUCCCUAUUUAUCCAGUGCCUACCCCAGCAUAAUCCUGAUCCAUACCUGCUGUCUCCUGAUGUUAGUGCCUGACAGUGUUUAAUCCUAAUGAUGGGCCUGACACGUUUCGCAAGCAUACAGGGCAGAUCAAGCCUGUGGAGCUGUUACUGUGAACAUCUUUGCUGGCAGAGUUGUGUCACCCGACAGUAAAAGAGGUGUUCACCUAGCAAAAUACAAGUACUUGUUGAACUUGCACUGUGGAGAACAAUAGACCAGCCAAGUAAAGCAAAUGCAGGGGAAAGAAACAGUAAUUUAUGCUAUAGUGGAGAUGUAUAAUACAGGUGUAUACAAACUUAAUUAGUGUUUCCAAAUAAUAUGUUUAAGUGAUUUUUUUUUUUCUUACAAAGAAUCUAAAAAUGCUAAUGCAGCUAUAUAAAUUCAAUUUUCCCCAAUAUAAUGGUUGUUAUAAACAAAAGCAUAUUUAAUCAUAAAAUGUUUUGCAACAGUGAGUGAAUAGUAUGCUUUCCAUUUUGUGUCUAAGGAAAACAAAGACACAAAGAAAUACACAUACUGAAUCUGGGUUUGUCGCUGUUGUGCUAUGAGAUACGAGCAUGGACAUCACAGGUAGUUCUCUUCUGGAGUCUCACUCCAUGAAAAGCCCAUUUUGAUUUCAAGGGGACCAAGGCUGCUACGAGGCGUUGGCAGAUUUGUGGCAAUGCUGUCUGGCCCUGCUGGAUGCAGUUUCAGCUAAAAUCACAGCCAGAUCCCAAACUGGCUGUUAAAACCACCUUCAGCCGGCCCUUGUUUUCUGCCUCUGUUUUGCUGCCAAUGCCUGUCUAAGCGGGCAGCUUCUCUUCACAUCACCUUUGCUACCCAGUGUGGUGAGUGAGGCCCUGACCUGGAAGUCCCUGAUCCUGGAAUAAGUUGCUGCUGCUGUGUUAUGCAAAAGGAGUGACCUGGAGGAGUGCUUUGAGACUGAUGCAGUAGCGUCCUGGGGUAGGACAUGGAGCUGAGGGCAGCAGGGUUGAUGGCUUUAAUGUUUGCACAUAGUUCAGGUGCAGCCAGAACUGUACGUCCACAUUUUUGCAAAGGUCUACCCCCUGAUUUUAUUUCCAGUCUCUUUUUUUGUGUGUGAAAUGUGAUAGUGAUGUGGUGCUUACCUCACUCAGAAAAUGCCUUCAGUUUCAUAAAUGAAAAGCCUUUUAUAGGGCUGUUGUAUUUUGUUUUUUUCUGGGAAAUCAUAACUCAACCAUGAAAUCUCACUGUCUUCUGUUGCUAGCUUCAAUCUCUUGUGCUUUGCUCAACAGGAAUUCCCCUUGCUUCCCCAUGUAAAAUAAACAUAAUUUAAAGUCACUUUGUCUUUUUGAAUUUUGAAGUUAAAUCUUACCAUAGCAGUGUCAUUGCAGCUGUGAUUUAGAGAUGUGUUUUAAAGAUGUAAGAAUGGCAGCUUUUACAUUUACAUUUAGCUCUCAAAUUUUGCAGUAUACAGAGAAACAGAGAUAGUGGCUGUAUUUUCAAAGGAAGAUGAGCUAUUGAAUUAAUUUUAAGAAAAUAAUGUUAAUAAAAUCUGAUUUUUAAAAAAAUAUUUGGAGAAUACUAUAUACAGUGGAUCUAAUAUGCCAGUAGAGAGAAUUUUCCUCUCCCUUCCUCUGUCUUUGGUUUUUAACCUACCUGAGGAUGUUCUGUGACACAGCCAGCCAUAAUGGCACCAGACAUUAUAGUCUAUUGUGUUAAUAAUCCGUGAAUUAAAGCAUCCCCCAGCAAGCUCUUAAUGUGAUGGAUGGUAUCAAUGAUGUGUGGCUAAAGGGUCCCCAAGCAGGCACUGCCACCGUAGACCAAAGCAGUUUGGAAGGUCUAUUGUUGUCAGUGAUCCGCUGAUUAUAGGACAUACCUGGAGGAAGGGUGGAGCGGAGGCAGAGGGAGGCUGUGAACAGCAGCUUAAGCUCUGUCAGGUGUCAGGGCUGCCUGUUACAAAUGGAAAGCUGGCAAGAAAAGCGUGUGCUGCCUGGGAUGAACUCAACAGCAGGUUCUGGAGAACUUCCGAGGCGGGUGAGGGUGCUCAUCAGAUUGCCAGGGAUGAGGAGUGGGAGACCAGAAUACUUAGAAUCCUCUUGACGAAGAAAAGAGUAAGUCUCAACAUUAAAAAUAGAUGCUUUUUAUCUUGUAUAUGAUACAAAAUCUCUUGUGAUAUGAUAUUUUUUUAUUAUACUUGAGCAGCUCUGAGCAGUCUUAGAUUAGGCCUGUAUCACAACAGUAAUACACAGGAGGCUAUGUUUUGUCUUGCUACGACACCAGCUACUAUUGUUUUUGAUCUGCAGCCUCUGAAGAGGGAUGCUGCAUCUUCUAUGGAAGGUGUUAUGAGUGCAGAUUAGUUAGACAAGUGCUGGAGUGAAUGCAUAAGUAGUGAUUUUGCAUAAUGAGGUAUGUGAAAUCCCAGUGGAGGUUGUUAAAACAGAUAGACAGCCUGUGGUAAACAACAAGGAAGGUAGGCUUUGAAAACAGAUGGCUUUGAAAACCUGGCAAAUGACUGUUCCAUACUUAAAAAUCAGUUUUGUUAGUGGAAAAUAUCUUAUUUAAAAAAAAGAAGAAAACUGAAAAAGCUUAGCCUGCAUAUUUUCAUAAACCGGAAUGUGCUAAUAAAGUUCUGUGGGUAACCAUGUAUCAUUUGUCUUUCCUGCUGUAUGUGUGUCUGAAUGGUGGAGGCGGUGGACUGCAUGUCUUGAAACGUUCUGCAGCGAUCCAUCAGGCUGUUGCUUCUACCUGGCAGACGUGUUGGUCUUCAUUAUCACUUUGACUGUCUCUAGGUGUGCACUUUCCAUUGGGAAAUUAAUCUUGCAAUCAAAGGGUUAAUUCAUCGUGAAAGAUAAGAGUCUGUAAGCGAAAUGGGAAUAUAGAGGAAUAUUCCUGCUGGGUGGAAAGGGCGCAGAGAGGCCUGUUGCCACCUGAGAUACUCUCUAGCUAAGGUAAGAGCUGGCCAGAAGAUGAGGGUCUGUUUCGGAGCUUUCAAAUGCACCUGUUUUCCGUGGGUUUAUGCCUUUGGCAUAAGCAGGAGGAGGUGUGAUGCUGGGAUCAGCCUCUGCUUCCUUUGGUCCCUUGUAGGUCACAUCAGCCGGGAAGGUGCUGGUGAGCUGGCCGUGAGGCACACCACCAUUUCUGGUGUAACCUGUCUGGGGCUGGCGCUCUGGAUUCUCCUGCAGAAUAGCUGCAACUUAAUUUCUAUAGUAUGAACUCCAAAUGCAAUAGUUUUUGCAGUAUUUCCAGAAGCUCAGCUUGGGGCGCUCGCUCUCGGAGCACUGACACUGAUGCACUCAAGGUGACUGUUAAAGAUCUUCCCCCAUGGCCUGAACUGAGGAUAUAAGGCUAUUUUAGUAGAAUAAUACUUUUCGUUCUUUUCCAAUGUAACCUCUAAAAGCAUUCCUGUGUAGGUGCAAGUUACUCUACAGCCUGUGGGUAAAGAAAAUGUCCUUUUCUUAGUUAUUUUAGUGGCUCCCUUGGAACAAGCCCAUAGGUGCCCAGGGCUCUGUGGACUUGAUUGGAAGGUAGUGCAAGUGGUCUGAUUCCUUUUUGAAAAGGAUCACAAAUGCAAACAGGGGAUUCCUCGGUCCCUAUCUGCUGCUGGAAAAAAGGCAAGUGCCUAUGACUUGGGAAUAAGAGAUAGGUCAUCCAGUGUCCUAAGAAAAAACUGGGGACACGGGGCCUUGUUGAGCACUUGCCCUUGCAUGCUGGUGCUGCCUUGGCCGAUCGAGGAUGUGCAGUCAGCCAGAGUGAUAACCCCAACAACAAAGCUUCAGUGCAGGGACGGCAGUUCGUGUACUUAAAUCCUGGGAAUCUGGGGGAGGAGGACAGCUCUGUACUGAUUCUCAACUCAUUAAAAAUAUGCUGUAAAUGGGACUGCACCUGGGAGAUUGGCACAAACAGUGUUUGGCACAUGGCUUGGGCCAGACUCCCAGGAGUGGGAGCCAAGUGAUGCUCUGAACAUGGGAAGUGUCCGUGUCCCCUUUGCCCUCUGGUUUGCAGGGCCACUGCUGGGGACAAGCCUGCUGAGACUGGUGAUGACAGUGGAGCUGGGGCAGCUGUGGGAGCAUGGGCUCUGCUUUCAUUUACAUUAGGUGGGAGAAAUAGGUGUUUAGAAAGUAAGAGAAGCAAAUUUUAGCCACUUCAUCUUUCUUCUCAUAAAUUAAAUGAAGUACUUGCUGAGUAGCUCAUUUCUCAAGGUACCAAGUACAGCUGUUGAGAAUUUUUGCCAUUAUGUUAUUUUUAAUCAAAAAACGCUGAUUAUAAAACUGGAUUUGUAGGCAAGAGAAGGUAGUGGAUUUUUUGCAGUAAUUUCCUUUUUUGAUUAAUUUCAGUGUGCCCUUUUUUAACGUUCUCAAAACAAUAAAGUGGGCUGCUUUGUUGUCAUUUGACAUUGUUAUUAACACUUAAGGCUAAAAGUGUUGGUUUUGGUUGAAAGAAAAAUUAAAUGAUUCACGUGGUCUUUUUCUUAAGUUUUUUUUUUUGAUUCCUUGACUUUAUCUGGAUUUUUACUUUUAGCCGUGUCUGCAGAUGGAGAUCACUGGGUGAGCAGCAGCUGAAAAGUCUUGCUUUCUGCUUGGAAAGAAACCUUUGCUACAUAGAGAUUGAUCAGAGCUGAGAGUUUCUGUUGCUUCUGUGGAGAGUUGUACGUUUUCUCUCUUACUGGGUAUUUGUGCCCAUCACUGAGGCAUUUCUAGAGCUGUGCCAGGCUCUGCAUGAUGCUCAGCAUCAUGUUUAAAAGCACUUCAGGUAAUGUAGUUGAAAACUUUCAACUGUUGAUUAUUUUUGUACCUAAAUAAGAGUUGAACUGUUCUGAAAAAAAUCACCCAAGUGUCUCAAGUUCCAUUGUUUUCUAUGCUGCAACAAGAUUGUUAGAAAUGUCUGUUCUAGAUGUAUAAAGUUGUUAGAGAAUAAAUGAAAAGGGACAGUGCUGUCCUGACAUUAACAGGUUAAGAAAAAGCCAGACAUCCCUGCGCUAAAAUAUUCACCUGAUUUUUUUUUUUCUUUUUUUCAGCUGCAGGGAACCAGGAUAUUUUAUCUCCGACACUCUGCCAGCUCUGUAAUAAUGAAAACCAAGAUAGCAUUUCUCAGUCUUAGGGCUGCUGUUAGGAGUGUGUGUUGCACACGGGGGCAGUAGCACACCGUAAAGAUCCGCAGUGUGGUAAUACUGGCCGGGUUGAUUUAUGGGUGUGCGAUAUACAGUGGGAUAUUCAGUAUUUGUUAGCUGGCUGCAUGUUUGACAGUUAUUGGCAAGAAGUAUUAACUUACAUCCAAGUUUGUCUUAACUAAUAAGUGAUGAGCAAAGAGAAGUUUGUAUUUGCUGUCUUAAAAUGAUCUGUGACUCUUUAUCCUUCAGAGUUCUUGAUUCCAACUUUGACAUGUGACUGUUUUCAUCUGUUUAAAUGUUGCAGGUGCCAUCAGAAGCCAAAAGUGAAAAAACUGCUUUUGGGAGCAACAUGAAACCGUUCUUCUUGUGACUUGGAAUCAGCACUUGUAUUAAAUUGCCCUAUUUAAUCUAAGCUUUGUUUUAGGCUUUUUGAAUAUAUUUUCUGUGAUACAGUUAGUGGAAAGGUUGCUCUAUUUUUUUAAGGGAUAACCAAGUGCUUAAGUGCUUUGCUGGAUCCGGGCCAGAGCCAGCAUCUUGCAGAAUAGAGCCCGUGACAACUCAUCUCAUCCUAGAAUCUCAGUUUUCUUCACAAACUCCAGUAAACAGAGUGUCCUGAUAAGCUGCUGUUAGCACCUCUUGGAAGAGUGCUGGGCACAGCAGGUGUCUUGAGAGGAAUGCAAAGAGCUUUCUGCUCCAUUUCCAUGGAAGGCUCUCUGAAGAUGCAGCUGAUUUGGUAUUUUGCAGGAGAAAAUGCUUCCUUCACACGUGAGGCCCUUUUCCUAAGUGAGAAACUGUCCCCUGGGUCAAAUGUUGCAUAAACUGAGAAGAAGCAGCGUGUCCUGUCCUAACAAGGCUUGCAGG